UAAUUUAUUUUUUCAUUAUCUUAGUCAUAAUAUUCUUACUGGGCUAGUUGAGCUCACCCUUUUUAUCUGUUGUCCUCUUCAGGAAAUGAGAAUAUCGCGGGGAAUAGUCGGGGAACAGUGUGAUGGUCAGAGUUAGAUCUGUUGAAAUCCUCACUAUUCUAUAAAAUAGUGAGAUAAUAAUUGUAAUAAAUAAGUGAUGAAUUUGAA
RNAcentral lists this long non-coding RNA (207 nucleotides) under Panax ginseng (ginseng). Its description in RNAcentral is "long non-coding RNA (PGIN_LNC009438)". Lineage: Eukaryota; Viridiplantae; Streptophyta; Magnoliopsida; Apiales; Araliaceae. The record is from RNAcentral.